Molecule: ribosomal RNA, 437 nt
Filed under: uncultured Clostridium sp.
Lineage: Bacteria; Bacillati; Bacillota; Clostridia; Eubacteriales; Clostridiaceae
Description: partial 16S ribosomal RNA
Rfam family: Bacterial small subunit ribosomal RNA
Source: RNAcentral
ACGGGAGGCAGCAGUGGGGGAUAUUGCACAAUGGGCGAAAGCCUGAUGCAGCAACGCCGCGUGAGGGAAGAAGGCUUUCGGGUUGUAAACCUCUGUCCUUGGUGACGAACACAAUGACGGUAGCCAAAGAGGAAGCCACGGCUAACUACGUGCCAGCAGCCGCGGUAAUACGUAGGUGGCAAGCGUUGUCCGGAUUUACUGGGUGUAAAGGGUGCGCAGGCGGGACUGCAAGUUGGAUGUGAAAUACCGAGGCUCAACCUCGGAGCUGCAUCCAAAACUGUAGUUCUUGAGUGGAGUAGAGGUAAGCGGAAUUCCGAGUGUAGCGGUGAAAUGCGUAGAUAUUCGGAGGAACACCAGUGGCGAAGGCGGCUUACUGGGCUCUAACUGACGCUGAGGCACGAAAGUGUGGGUAGCAAACAGGAUUAGAUACCCUGGUA